RNAcentral lists this ribosomal RNA (88 nucleotides) under Nannospalax galili (Upper Galilee mountains blind mole rat). The record is from RNAcentral. Lineage: Eukaryota; Metazoa; Chordata; Mammalia; Rodentia; Spalacidae.
GUCUAUGGCUAUUCCAUCCUGAACACAUUUGAUCUCAUCUAAUCUCAGAGGCUAAGCAGGGUUGGGCUUGGAUGGGAGACACAAGACU